This 460-nucleotide ribosomal RNA is filed under the name uncultured bacterium. RNAcentral describes it as "partial 16S ribosomal RNA". It matches the Rfam family "Bacterial small subunit ribosomal RNA", at positions 338 to 795 of the family's 1533-position model. The record is from RNAcentral.
CCUACGGGUGGCUGCAGUGAGGAAUAUUGGUCAAUGGACGGAAGUCUGAACCAGCCAUGCCGCGUGCAGGAUGACGGCUCUAUGAGUUGUAAACUGCUUUUGUAUUAGGGUAAACACCCCUACGUGUAGGGGCUUGAAAGUAUAAUACGAAUAAGGAUCGGCUAACUCCGUGCCAGCAGCCGCGGUAAUACGGAGGAUCCAAGCGUUAUCCGGAAUUACUGGGCGUAAAGCGCUCGUAGGCGGUAUGUCAAGUCAAGGGUGAAAUCCCCGCGCUCAACGUGGGAACUGCCUUUGAAACUGGCAAACUGGAGUGUGUGAGAGGAUAGUGGAAUUCCAGGUGUAGGAGUGAAAUCCGUAGAUAUCUGGAGGAACAUCAGUGGCGAAGGCGACUAUCUGGCACAUAACUGACGCUGAGGAGCGAAAGCGUGGGUAGCAAACAGGAUUAGAUACCCUGGUAGUC